UCGGGUUUCUUGCUUCCUAAAAGUAAGUGGUGCGGAUGGGAUAACUCCCGCCUGGUUUCUAUGUUCCAGUCAAAAAUGUAGUGGUGGAGUCAAUUA
Molecule: non-coding RNA, 96 nt
Filed under: unclassified sequences
Description: wcaG RNA
Rfam family: wcaG RNA
Source: RNAcentral